CGUCUAUAUACGUAUAGCAUAUCAAUAAGCGGAGGAAAAGAAACUAACUAGGAUUGCCCUCAGUAACGGCGAGUGAAGCGGGAAGAGCUCAAAUUUGAAAUCUUCAAGGUUCUACCUUGACGAAUUGUAGUUUAAAGAAGUGUUUUCUGUUGGAGUUUUGGUAAAAGUUCUUUGGAAUAGGACAUCAUAGAGGGUGAGAAUCCCGUAUUUGACCAUUAUCUCCAGCUUUGUGAUACACUUUCAAAGAGUCGGAUUGUUUGGGAAUGCAGUCCAAAAUGGGUGGUAAAUUUCAUCUAAAGCUAAAUACUGGCGAGAGACCGAUAGCGAACAAGUACCGUGAGGGAAAGAUGAAAAGAACUUUGAAAAGAGAGUUAAACAGUACGUGAAAUUGUCAAAAGGGAAGCGUUUGACACCAGUGUUGUUUUCUCGAAAAUCAAUUAAAAAAGGCCGGAUUUUGUGUUGUAUUGACUUUAUCAGCUUUCUGCACUCUUUUCUUGUCUUUUUUAAUGCACUUUUCGUUUAACAAGUCAACAUCAAUUUCUUUUGUUGUAAAAGGGUCAUUGGAAGGUGGCUUUCUUUUCGGAGAAAGUGUUUAUAGCCUUUGGCCUCUGCAAUCGGAGAGAUUGAGGUCUGCAGCGCAGAUCCUUCGGGGUUAGAUACAUUUGUGCUAAGUUAUAGCCUUUCAUAGACAACUUGUUGACUAUGAUCAGUCAUGUAGCUUACUCGCUUAUGCUAUUUUACCUACGCUUAGGAUGUUGAAGUCAUCGUAUCGCGC
RNAcentral lists this ribosomal RNA (775 nucleotides) under uncultured Neocallimastigales. RNAcentral's name for it is "partial large subunit ribosomal RNA". It matches the Rfam family "Eukaryotic large subunit ribosomal RNA", at positions 26 to 645 of the family's 3401-position model. The record is from RNAcentral. Lineage: Eukaryota; Fungi; Neocallimastigomycota; Neocallimastigomycetes; Neocallimastigales.